Molecule: long non-coding RNA, 955 nt
Filed under: Mytilus galloprovincialis (Mediterranean mussel)
Lineage: Eukaryota; Metazoa; Mollusca; Bivalvia; Mytilida; Mytilidae
Source: RNAcentral
CAGCCGCCGAAAAGAUUACAAGAUCAAGUCAAGACAACAGAAUACAAAAAAAAACUUGCCGAUCAAGGAACUGAGUGGAAAUUCAUACCCAACCGUGCACCGUGGUUUGGAGGCUUUUGGGAACGCCUAAUUGGACUCACGAAAAAGUCAAUUAAAGCAAUACUAGGAAAGUCAUGUGUCACUACGGAAAUGUUGAAUACAAUUAUAAUCGAAAUCGAGGGAGCUCUAAACAAUCGUCUUAUAACUCACAUUUCUACUGAUAUUAAAGAUCCCGAACCGCUGACGCCAGCGCACCUUUUAUAUGGUCGUCGACUUGACAACCAAUCGGAACAGAAUAUUGACAGUGUUACUUCCGAAGAUUUGCACCUGAAACUGAAUAAAAAUUUACAGAGAAAUAAUGAACUAAUCAACACAUUUUCGCUCAAGAUGGAAACACGAAUAUCGGACGUCACUCCGUGAAUUCCACCGUACAUCUGGAAGAAACGAACACACAAUACAAAUAGGUGACAUUGUACAAGUACACAAUGACACAAAUCGUAUAUUGUGGAAAUUAGCAGUUGUACAAGAUUUAGUUCGUGGAAAGGAUGGACUCAUUCGAUCAGCUGUUAUCAAGACCGACACAGGAAUCACCAACCGUCCGAUUGUGAAGCUCUAUUCGUUGGAAAUACACAGUAAAAAUGAUGACAGUAAAUGAACUUUUCUGCCCUGGAGAAAUUAGUUUAUGUAUAGACUGUUCAAUUAACUCCGGUUAUUAUAUAGACUUGUAAAAGUGUUAAAUUAUUCAGACGUGAACAGUUAAAAAAUAUUGAGAGACUUUUAAUAUGAUUUUAUUUCAUUUUUAUGUCACAAUUGAUCAGACAUUUAAUUUCAAAUUUACGAAUUUUUCAUAUUGUAUUUCAAAUUUGAGUUAAAUAUCAUUUUCUGCGGCCCCAGAAUGUAAAGAAUUGCGCUAAUA